ACUGCCGGUGACAAACCGGAGGAAGGUGGGGAUGACGUCAAGUCAUCAUGGCCCUUACGGCCUGGGCUACACACGUGCUACAAUGGUCGGUACAAAGGGUUGCCAAGCCGCGAGGUGGAGCUAAUCCCAUAAAACCGAUCGUAGUACCGGAUCCGCAGUCUGCAACUCGACUGCGUGAAGUCGGAAUCGCUAGUAAUCGUGAAUCAGAAUGUCACGGUGAAUACGUUCCCGGGCCUU
Molecule: ribosomal RNA, 237 nt
Filed under: uncultured Pseudomonas sp.
Lineage: Bacteria; Pseudomonadati; Pseudomonadota; Gammaproteobacteria; Pseudomonadales; Pseudomonadaceae
Description: partial 16S ribosomal RNA
Rfam family: Bacterial small subunit ribosomal RNA
Source: RNAcentral